Podarcis lilfordi (Lilford's wall lizard) is the source of this 5417-nucleotide non-coding RNA. The record is from the annotation of a GenBank genome assembly. NCBI's taxonomy places the organism in Eukaryota, Metazoa, Chordata, Lepidosauria, Squamata, Lacertidae.
AACGGACCAAUACAACUUCAAUCUAUUGAACUCAUACUCAAAUACUGUGUAUUUUCAAGUAAAUACAGGAGGGUAUUAAAAUAGACUUAUAAUUCACUGAACACCUGGGGUGGGAGGAGCGCCAUUGAGAACCAUUCUCCUGCUUGGGAAAACUUAAGAAACGCUACUACAGUAAUAAAGUGGAAGAAUAUAAAACUGCACAGAAGUACAACAUGUUCUUAUUAACAACCUCCUAUGGAGGCACCUGAUGCUGCUUGCCUUUAUUCAUGUAAACAUUGUCUCAGAUAAUUACGCACAGGAAGCUGCCUUAUACUGAGUCAGGCCACGGGUGCAUCUAGCUCAGAAUUGUCUACACGAAGAGACAGGGGCAUCAGGAAACCAGAGGUGCUGAAAAUUGAACCUGGAACCUUCUGCAAGGAAAGCAGAUGCUCUAUCACUGAGCUAUGCCCUUCCAUGCUGUCAUGUGACUGCAAAAUGUGACUCACUUUGGCUUUGGGUUCUGCUCUGCAGCAUCCUUGGUAUAAUGGUUGAGUGAUGGCAGGGUUUUUUUUGUUUUUGUUUUAACAGAAGGCAAUCUGAGUGUAAGAGUUUCCCUCUUGAAAUCACAUCUGGAAAAUUCACAGCUGAAAUUUAAAAGCUCCCAUUCAAUAAAUGGGAAAGGGACAAGUCAUUUGUGAAAUGACUGGGUCUCAUUUCUCCUAUGCCUUUUCCCCCCUGCCAAAGCAGUGGUUCUCAAAAUAUUUAUUUCCCAUGGACCCCUUGAAAAUUGCUGAGGGUCUUGGAAAACCACUUAAAAAAAUUCUGCCCCUUGUACCAAGUGCGCUAGAUGCUGUAUGUUUUUGAUUGCAUUUUUAGUUCUUUUAUUCAUUUUUAUUUAUUUGGUCCCUCUCACUCUGUAUUCACUCGGGGCAAAAAAAAGUCUAGCCAUCCCCCUGCCCCUAGCUAUGGCACUGUCUAGUUGGCCACUGUGAGAACAGGGUGUUGGAUUCAAUGGGCUUUUGGCCUGAUCCAACAGGCUGUUCUUACGAUCUUAGGCUGCUACUAUAUUGUCAGGGGGAUGCCAGCAACUCCCACGGCCAGUUGCCCAGGAACGUACAAAGACAAGGAAAUGUUUCUUACCAUCCGCUUUUUACUCCGUAUUUACAGAGAGAGGCUUUGGAACCCAGCCUCUUAGAUAAUGGCAUUGUCCCAAGUGCAUCUCCACCCCCACCUCCGUCUCUCCCACUUCCUCACUCGUCAUCCCUACGGGCGCUGACAAGUGACCUCUGCCUUUGAGCUCUUUGCUCUGCUACUUUCAAUGCUUGCUGGGUUCUGGGAGCAGGGGUCUGAAAUGCUUUCUAAAGACACUGUGUCCAUCAGCUGUCCUCCCCUCCCAGGUGCUUCCUCUUUCUCCUCCUCCUCUCCCAUUAUUUCCCAACUUUUCCCUUCAUCUGCCUCUGAGCUGUGACCUCCCUCAAACCCCUGUUGUAAUUCUGAACUGUCUUCUUCUUCUCUGGAAGGGUCAGGCUGGGAAUGCGGUCUCCACUAUCCCUCCUCUGCCCAGACCCUGACAUUUAUUGGGGGACAGUUCCCUGUUGGACAGGGGAUGGGGGGCUGAAAGCUGCAUUCAUGUAAGCUUUCAUUUUUUAGCUUAUAAAUCCUGAUAAGAACACUUGAAGAAUCGCUGAGAUAUCAUUUGACUUGGAGAUAGUACAAACUGCUGAGUGACUCAGUUACAUUUUGAGGGCAUUUCCCCAUACAAUUAAGGGGAAAACUUCAUAAGAGGGGUCCUAAUGUCAAAGUAAAUAUCCCAGUGUUAGUUAACUGAGAUGUAAGAAGAUUCUGCGGGAAGGAGCUUCGCACUUUGUUCCCUUCCUUAGGUCACUUGGCUAAUCUGCCACUAAAUAGAAGGGCUGCACGUGUCGUUCUUAUAAUCUUGAAUUCUUAGAGAGAUGGAGGGUUAGAAAAUAAGAAAUACAUGUUAGAAGAAAAAUAAAUAUCCCAGUGGUGUGUACAGUAAGCAUGAACAAGCAACCUGCACCCACUUUUUUUGGCUUGUAAAAAGCUUGCAGCAAGUGAAGAAACCCCUUGAUUAGUAACCACUGCAGAAUUCUACAGCUAAGAUGGAGCAUAUGAGUAUGGUUUGAGAAGACAUGAGUUCUGAUCCCUCCUUGGACAUGGAUUUUUUAGGACAUCUUGCCUAUGUUUUCUCUUAUUCAAUCCCCACAAUUGUUAAAUUGGGAUAUUUAUGGCUGUUGUGAAAAUAAACCAAUAAUUAAUGCUGAAUAACUUUUCAAUAAAUAUGGGGAAAUAAUAAUAUGGUCAUCAAAAAUAAUAAUAGUAUGACACACAGCUGUUUCAUGCAGCAAGCACUUAGCCUUUCUCAUGCAUGGUUAAGUACCCAAGAAUAGCCAUCCAGAUAUUUUGGACUAACUCCCAUCAUCACUCAGCAUUGGCCAUGGUGAUUCGAGUUGGGAUCCAACAACAUCUGGGGACUCCCAAGUUUGGAAUGCUGAUCUAGAAAAUCUAAUUGUGAGUGUAGAAGUGCCAGAUAUUCAUGGAAGAGGUAAAAGUUGAAACAGGAACUUCCUGCCUCUCAUCUCCUUAGCCAAUGAUAAUUUACACACACAUAUAUUAGCUAUAUGCAAGUAAUAAUUCUGACUUACACUCCAACUUUCUGAUUAUUAUCAAGAAGUCCCAAAGAGGAGGUUCACCAUGAUAUGAAUUAUUCCAUUAAAAAUAUAAAUUUAAAGAAUUGGAAGUUUAAAAGAGGAGGCAGGAAUACAAGAGAGACACCAACAGCUAGUAGAAUCAAGGGCAUAAUCAAUCAUCACUAAAUCCAAAUUCUCUCAGAGCAGUAUUUUCACUAAAUGCAUGAAGCCCAGCAGCAGUUACUGCUUUGGAGACGGUGACAUCUGAGACAUUUCUAUAACACUACAUUGCUAUGAAUACAUAUGAUUUUAUACUGUCUUUCAUACCAAAUACUGUACAUAUCUAUGUGUUUUCCUGAAAAGCACCAGUGAAAUAUUGAAUUCACGAUACCCUACUUUUCAAGAUUCAUGCCCUGCUGUCAACAAAUAUAUACCUCCAUUACUCUAUAAAAACUUAUAUUAUUCUGACACUUCAGAUUUCUAUUCUGGCUUUAAGCUACUAAUAAAGAGAUAAGACAAGCAGAGAUAAAUAAUGGAAGGAGAAAGGUGUCCUGAGGCUCCUGUUUCCCUUUGUGUUUGUCUACGAUCCCCUCAAGCUCUCUUAGCCUGGCUUAUGUGUGGUUUCUUUUGAGGUGAUGAAUUAUAUGUCUAAAGACUCAGCAGUAAAUAUUCAGAAUCUAGUCUUUUUCACUCUAGGGGAGAUAAAGGUUGUUGUUGUUAUUUUAAAAAAGGAUUGAGCACAAUUUUUAAAUCCUGGCAGUGGGUACAUAGCCUUUUUCAUGUCACUUGAAAUUAUCACUCCUGAUAGCCUAGUUGGGUUUUUUAAAGCACACACAUACAGAUUGUGGCUAUUUUUUGGGGGGGGGGGGUUUAAAAAAACACAGAUAUGAAGACAGAUAUACUUUGUCUAGGUUCGGAUAGCACACUGAGCCAAACCGUAGCUUUGCACAAAUGUGCAAGUGUGUUGAUUCCCAGAGAGGCAACUGCUCUGUAUAAUGUAUUGUUUUUUAUAGUACCUGAUCUUUCACUCCAGUGUGGUGUAGUGUAGCGGUGUCUUUCCAGCCAGUGUGGUGUAGUGGUUAAGAGCGGUAGUCUCGUAAUCUGGCUAACCGGGUUCGCGUCUCCGCUCCUCCACAUGCAGCUGCUGGGUGACCUUGGGCCAGUCACACUUCUCUGAAGUCUCUCAGCCCCACUCACCUCACAGAGUGUUUGUUGUGGGGGAGGAAGGGAAAGGAGAAUGUUAGCCGCUUUGAGACUCCUGAAGGGGAGUGAAAGGCGGGAUAUCAAAUCCAAACUCUUCUUCUCUUCUUCUUAUGUGCUCUGUCUCUGUCAUUGUCUCUGUCUCUCUCUUGCAUAGAAGCAUUUCUGUAGCCUGGAUUUAGCUUAUAAAGCUGCUUCUAGUGUCCCACCAGCCCUCUUUCAAAACCAGACAACUCUUCUUGCCUUGGAAAAGUAUCUCUUGUUCCUCUGGUACAGCACCAUUGCCAGAAGUAGCACUCCACCCUGUUCCUUAGCUGGAAGACAUUCUUGCAAUGGUGCCAUCCCAGAGAGACACAAAAGAGAGGUGGGGGAAUUCAUCUUUCCUGCAAAAAUAUAUUGCCAUCUGAAUACAGGAAAAAAUGUGAUUCUCCUUGAUAUUAGCAUGGCUGCUCACAAAUGUCCGCUACUGACUUUGUUCUGGCAUAAGCCUGUAUGAAGCUUACACUGAGUCCAUACUCUCCAAUAAGAAGUGGCCCAAAACUGGGGCACCAUCUUCCAGCAUUCCCACGCAAGUCACGUAACAACACCCCCCCGCAAAAAACACUUUGGGGGGCAUGGUGUCCCAAAAUGCAUCUUUUGGGGCACUGCGCAAGAUCGCUGCCCCAAUAAAAGCAUUUGGGGGGGGGCAAGAGUAUGGCCCUAAAGUUGUCCUCUCUCAAGAAAAAACCGGAUGUCCUGUUUUUUCCAGGACAGUUGGCUGGUAUGUGAGUCAGGCCUUCAUUCUAUCCAUAAACAAGCACUGUUUGCUCUGUCUAGCAAAAGUUCUCUGAGGCCUGAGGCAGAGAAAAGCCAACUAUGCUACCUGAGAUCCUUUUAACUACAGAUUCAGAGGACUGAAUCAGAGCUCUUAUGCAUGCAAAGUACAGUAUGUACUCUUCUACCAACCUACGGCCCUUCCCAGAUCUCCCAUGACCUAGGGCUAAUAUCUAACCAAAGGCUUCAGAAAGAAAGAUACAGAUACAGAUCUAUUAAUCAACUUGUAAAUAAGGAUUGCAAAAUACAUCUUCAAAACAGAAUAGUUGGUCUGGGGUUAUAUUGAUUCAAAUAUAUAAUAUUUUGACAUAACUUAGCCACGAUUAACUGGUCAUCUGCCUUUAGCCAUUAAAAUGGUUAGGACCCAAACAAAUCUAAAGAAACGGUGUGCUUUGUGUGUGUUUAAAAAUGACUGCAGAGUCUGUCAUAUAAAAUGAAUUUAGCAAUGGAAAAGAAGGAGAAUUUCCAUCCCAUUAGGUGCUUUUAAUUGCCGUUAUUAUGAACGGUCUGAAUCUUUCAUACCUGAGUUGCUACAGGGAGAAAGAUAUUUUUAGCAUUUGCAGCCCAAAGCGACUGUUGCUACCCUACAGAGCCAUAUCCAUAGAUUUUCUUUCCAUCCUGCAGUUUCAGGUUGAAUAGGUAAAUUAAGUGCAUUACCUGAUAUGCCAUUUUUAUUAAAAGAAAUGAACAAAUGUUACACAAAUAAACGAGAAGCACAGAAGCAGAGCCUGCCUGCAGUGUUCGCUCAAAGAGGCUUUAGGUACACAAAAACCC